Molecule: ribosomal RNA, 374 nt
Filed under: uncultured organism
Description: partial 16S ribosomal RNA
Rfam family: Bacterial small subunit ribosomal RNA
Source: RNAcentral
GUAGGUGGCAAGCGCUGUCCGGAAUUAUUGGGCGUAAAGCGCGCGCAGGCGGUCCUUUAAGUCUGAUGUGAAAGCCCACGGCUCAACCGUGGAGGGUCAUUGGAAACUGGGGGACUUGAGUACAGAAGAGGAAAGCGGAAUUCCAAGUGUAGCGGUGAAAUGCGUAGAGAUUUGGAGGAACACCAGUGGCGAAGGCGGCUUUCUGGUCUGUAACUGACGCUGAGGCGCGAAAGCGUGGGGAGCAAACAGGGAUUAGAUACCCUGGUAGUCCACGCCGUAAACGAUGAGUGCUAAGUGUUAGGGGGGUUUCCGCCCCCUUAGUGCUGCAGCUAACGCAUUAAGCACUCCGCCUGGGGAGUACGGCCGCAAGGCUG